ACAAUUUUUAUUUUGUACAUGGUGAGAGAACUCUGAAGUUUCCAGCUAAUGGCUGCUUGAAGGUACCAAGUGAAGAUGAACUACUUAACUUCAAGAUUAGUCUAAACCUAAGAAGAAUCCUGCUCUGAAACGCUGUCAUGAUAAAAGGUCAGCAGCCCAAAAUACAUGAAGAUGGACCUUCCAGAGGGCCAGCAAGGAUACUUUUGCAAAUAACUUAUGAAAGCCUCUGAUAUCAUCCUGGUGAACUGAGUAACACACCAUCAUUGUCUUAAAAAUGGAAACAUUACUUUGUGUUUAGGUGAUUAACAGUGACAUCAGGAAAACAGGCUUCCAUGGGCAAAGACUGGAAAAUAGAAUUUCCUUCUGUCUCAAGUUAAUGCAAGACAAUUAGUGUUAAUUAAAUUGCACCUGAGCUGGUAGUUGUGGAUUUGAUCAAGUGCAGAUAUCUGAACACAAAAUAUUUGUGAAAACUGAAACCAAUAUCGUCCUUAAAUUGAGGACCAUGUGUAAAGGGGAAAGAAAUACGAGACCCAAAUAUUUUGGCAAGUCCUUAUUUUUGAAAAAAUAGCUAACAAACAUGAUGGGAAGAAAUGUUUUUGUGAAUGUUAUGCUGAAGAUAAUUAGUUUUCCUAAAGACACAAGGGAGGAGAUCAGGUAAUGCAUGUUUUUAAUGAUGAUGAAUGGACUUUCCAUAGAUUACUUUCUUAAAACCUUUAUCUGUUUUGAUAACUAUCCAAGACAAAGACUCAUUUUGAUUUAAAGUUCCUUCAUCCCCUUGCAGCAAUGGUAGCAAGAAGAUUUUUUUUCUAGAAAUAUCUAGAUAUGAUAUAAUAUUUCACAAGUUUCAUAAUUAAUUAUUAUAGUCUAUUACCCAUAUUAUCCUGUUAAGAAAAUGUAGCGCAGCAAAAAAAUAAUAGGCAGCUUGAAUUUUACGUCACUACUGAGAAGUAUUUGUCACUUCCUAUGCAACUUCUGUAGCUUUGCUGCAUGUUGUCACAGUGUGGGUACAAUGAAGGAGUGACCACAGCAGAAUUGCCAAGAAAUACAGUGCAAAGCAAAUAUUUUAUAUUAAAACAAUUAAUAUAGUUGAAAAAGUUUUUUGGGCCAAAAAAAAACCCCACAAACAAACAAACACACAAAACAAAACAAAACAAAAAACACCUCUCAGAUCUGAAACAGAAAUAAACUUCAAGCCUUAAAAGAAUUAUUCACGGACUUUGAAAGGAAAUUUUUUUUACUAAAAGAAAUAAAUACAUUUUUCUAGUAAUCAGUGUAUAUGAUGUGCAGUAGUUUUACCUUUCUUGCAGACCUAUCUUGAAAUUAGCCUUAAAUCAUCCCAUUUACCAUAAUACUGUUUCUCCCAUUACAACUACAGUGGGGGCAAUUACUGAC
Molecule: long non-coding RNA, 1392 nt
Organism: Cygnus atratus (black swan)
Lineage: Eukaryota; Metazoa; Chordata; Aves; Anseriformes; Anatidae
Exons: 3
Source: RefSeq, a predicted model, not a curated record